Gossypium arboreum is the source of this 843-nucleotide long non-coding RNA. RefSeq lists it as uncharacterized. The record is from RefSeq and is a predicted model, not a curated record. The transcript is spliced from 6 exons. Lineage: Eukaryota; Viridiplantae; Streptophyta; Magnoliopsida; Malvales; Malvaceae.
AAAAUGCAAUUCGAUCCCUAGUACAAUGACUUCCAUAAUACUUUUACCAUAUCUCGAUGACAAAAAAAAGGUGUUUGGCAGCUUGAAAAUAAUUUAUACUUGGAAAAUGGAUUCCAAGACACGGGUAAAAUGACUUGCAAUUUGGGGAAAAUGUCUUACCGAUUUCUUUUCAGUAAGACAUUUUCCAUCUCCUUCAUCCAGGCAAUACACGCUGCUAUUUCGUCUUUCUCAGGCAAAGCUCUUUUUUAGGUUGCUGUGCCUGAUUCUCUCUCCCUUUAGCUCCUUUUGUCAAUUUCCAUCUUGUUCUAGGCUGCGUUACCUAUAACCUCGGAACCGGCAGUGGUACAUCUGUGCUUGAAAUGGUUGCUGCUUUUGAGAAAGCUUCUGGAAAGCUGAAAAUAUUGCAGAAAAUCCCCAUUAAACUAUGCCCCAGAAGUCCAGGAGAUGCUACAGCUGUUUAUGCUUCCACUAAAAAAGCUCAAAAAAGAACUUGGUUGGAAAGCAAAAUACGGUAUAGCAGAGAUGUGCAGAGAUCAAUGGAAGUUGGCAAGCAACAAUCCAUGGGGAUACCAGUCAAAGCCUUAGGCUUCAACUAAAUACUAAUUUUCUUCCCCAGUCUUUUUAAAAAUGUCUCAUAGGGAGAAUUAAGUGUACAAAUCCUUGUUUAAUUUAAACAAAACUGAUCUUUGAUGAUCAAAAGUUAGGAUUUAUCAAAUGUUCAAAGAUCUUAUAAAAUUCCUUUGUGUUACAUUUAUAAGUCUUUGUAAGAGUGAUGUUUUUAUCAUUUCUGGAGUUUAAAAAAUAAAUGGUUUUAAGUUCACUGUAAGGAGUUGAUCUAAACAA